Molecule: ribosomal RNA, 484 nt
Filed under: uncultured bacterium
Lineage: Bacteria
Description: partial 16S ribosomal RNA
Rfam family: Bacterial small subunit ribosomal RNA
Source: RNAcentral
AUUGAACGCUGGCGGCAGGCCUAACACAUGCAAGUCGAGCGGAUGAAGGGAGCUUGCUCCUGGAUUCAGCGGCGGACGGGUGAGUAAUGCCUAGGAAUCUGCCUGGUAGUGGGGGAUAACGUCCGGAAACGGGCGCUAAUACCGCAUACGUCCUGAGGGAGAAAGUGGGGGAUCUUCGUACCUCACGCUAUCAGAUGAGCCUAGGUCGGAUUAGCUAGUUGGUGGGGUAAAGGCCUACCAAGGCGACGAUCCGUAACUGGGCUGAGAGGAUGAUCAGGCACACUGGAGCUGAGACACGGGCCAGACUGCUACGGGAGGCAGCAGUGGGGAAUAGUGGACAAUGGGCGAAAGCCUGAGCCAGCCAGGCCGCGUGUGUGAAGAAGGUCUUCGGAUUGUAAAGCACUUUAAGUUGGGAGGAAGGGCAGUAAGUGAAUACCUUGCUGGUUUGACGUGACCAACAGAAUAAGCACCGGCUAACUUCGUG